Long non-coding RNA from Dalotia coriaria, 624 nucleotides. RefSeq lists it as uncharacterized. The record is from RefSeq and is a predicted model, not a curated record. The transcript is spliced from 6 exons. Lineage: Eukaryota; Metazoa; Arthropoda; Insecta; Coleoptera; Staphylinidae.
GACGUGCGUUUUUCGUUGAGUGAUCGCAGUCGCAGCUCACCAAGUUUCUUUUUAAAUUCGGUAAUGCUAUUAUUGCAAUCUAGCGAAUCACUUGCUAUCGUUGGUUUAUGUGCACUUUUCGUCACACGAAAUAUUAUGGAGAUUUUCAUUGGGUAAAUACGAUAGAUCGACGAUUGCGUUUUGUGAUUACAAACCGGUGCAUUAUAGCGUUCGGUUUGUUUGUAAACACGUCUAGAGUCAACCUCAUGUUUUGCGGUUAUUAAUAUUUCCAAUUGGAAUUCUCUGUGUUCGUUAGUUGACAUUCUGCAGCCCAAAAAAAAUUAGUAAAAACAAUCGUUGGAGAACUAUUCUCGCAACAGAUUGUGUUUUGAACCUGAAUCCGACAUCGUAGGAGAACAAUUCUUGUAUCAGAUUGUGUUUUGAACCUGAAUCCGACAUCGUAGGAGAACAAUUCUUGUAUCAGAUUGUGUUUUGAACCUGAACCCGACAUCGUAGGAGAACAAUUCUUGUAUCAGAUUGUGUUUUGAACCUGAACCCGACAUCGUAGGAGAACAAUUCUUGUAUCAGAUUGCGUUUUGAACCUGAACCCGACGUUGUAGAAAAACGAUUCUUAUAUCAGAUUGU